This 746-nucleotide ribosomal RNA is filed under the name Acinetobacter johnsonii. Its description in RNAcentral is "bacterial SSU rRNA". It matches the Rfam family "Bacterial small subunit ribosomal RNA", at positions 74 to 816 of the family's 1533-position model. Lineage: Bacteria; Pseudomonadati; Pseudomonadota; Gammaproteobacteria; Moraxellales; Moraxellaceae. The record is from RNAcentral.
GGUACCUUGCUACCUAACCUAGCGGCGGACGGGUGAGUAAUGCUUAGGAAUCUGCCUAUUAGUGGGGGACAACAUUCCGAAAGGAAUGCUAAUACCGCAUACGUCCUACGGGAGAAAGCAGGGGAUCUUCGGACCUUGCGCUAAUAGAUGAGCCUAAGUCAGAUUAGCUAGUUGGUGGGGUAAAGGCCUACCAAGGCGACGAUCUGUAGCGGGUCUGAGAGGAUGAUCCGCCACACUGGGACUGAGACACGGCCCAGACUCCUACGGGAGGCAGCAGUGGGGAAUAUUGGACAAUGGGCGAAAGCCUGAUCCAGCCAUGCGGCGUGUGUAAAGAAGGCCUUUUGGUUGUAAAGCACUUUAAGCGAGGAGGAGGCUACUUGGAUUAAUACUCUAGGAUAGUGGACGUUACUCGCAGAAUAAGCACCGGCUAACUCUGUGCCAGCAGCCGCGGUAAUACAGAGGGUGCGAGCGUUAAUCGGAUUUACUGGGCGUAAAGCGUGCGUAGGCGGCUUUUUAAGUCGGAAGUGGAAUCUCUGAGCUUAAUUAGGAAUUGCAUUCGAUACUGGGAAGCUAGAGUAUGGGAGAGGAUGGUAGAAUUCCAGGUGUAGCGGUGGAAUGCGUAGAGAUCUGGAGGAAUACCGAUGGCGAAGGCAGCCAUCUGGCCUAAUACUGANGCUGGAGUACGAAAGCAUGGGGAGCAAACAGGAUUAGAUACCCUNNUAGUCCAUGCCGUAAACGAUGUCUAC